AAUGCCCUACGGGGCGCAGCAGUGAGGAAUAUUGGUCAAUGGUCGGGAGACUGAACCAGCCAAGCCGCGUGAGGGAGGAAGGUACAGAGUAUCGUAAACCUCUUUUGUCAGGGAACAAAGGCGGGGACGUGUCCCCGGAUGAGUGUACCUGAAGAAAAAGCAUCGGCUAACUCCGUGCCAGCAGCCGCGGUAAUACGGAGGAUGCGAGCGUUAUCCGGAUUUAUUGGGUUUAAAGGGUGCGUAGGCGGAAUAUCAAGUCAGCGGUAAAAAUUCGGGGCUCAACCCCGCCGUGCC
This 294-nucleotide ribosomal RNA is filed under the name uncultured bacterium. RNAcentral describes it as "partial 16S ribosomal RNA". It matches the Rfam family "Bacterial small subunit ribosomal RNA", at positions 333 to 625 of the family's 1533-position model. The record is from RNAcentral.